UAGCAUAAUCAUUAGGUUUUUAAUUGGAAUCUUGUAUGAAUGAUUGGACAAAAGAAGUACUGUCUUUGUAUUGAAACUUGAAUUUAACUUUUAAGUGAAAAGGCUUAAAUAUACUAAAGGGACGAUAAGACCCUAUAAAACUUUACAUUUAUGUUAAAUUUUAUGGAAUUUGAAAUUAUAAUUAUUAAGUUUAAUUUUUUGUUAUGUUGGGGAGACAAAAGCUAUAAUUAUUUAUAACUGCUUUUAAAGGAAACAAAAAUAAAUGGGGAGAGUUAAAGAUCCUUUAUUGAGAUUGUAAGAUUAAGUUACUUUAGGGAUAACAGCGUUAUUUUUUUUUGAGAGUUCAUAUUGAAAAAAAAGAUNGCGACCUCGAUGUUGAAUUAAAAUAUCUUU
RNAcentral lists this ribosomal RNA (393 nucleotides) under Potamonautes perlatus. Its description in RNAcentral is "partial 16S ribosomal RNA". The record is from RNAcentral. Lineage: Eukaryota; Metazoa; Arthropoda; Malacostraca; Decapoda; Potamonautidae.